Molecule: long non-coding RNA, 407 nt
Organism: Phyllostomus discolor (pale spear-nosed bat)
Lineage: Eukaryota; Metazoa; Chordata; Mammalia; Chiroptera; Phyllostomidae
Exons: 3
Source: RefSeq, a predicted model, not a curated record
UUCCUGGAGUUUUGUCAGGACAGAACACAGACCACACACCAUGGAGUUUUGUCUCAGCUGGGUUUUUCUUGUUGCUGUUUUAACAGGUGUCCAGUGUGAAGUGCAGCUGGUGGAGUCUGGGGGAGGCUUGGUGAAGCCUGGGGGUCUCUGAGACUCUCCUGUGCCGCCUCUGGAUUCACCUUCAGUAGCUACUGGAUGAGCUGGGUCCGCCAGGCACCAGGGAAGGGACUGGAGUGGCUUGCAUACAUUACUCAUAGCGGUGGUAGCACACACUACACCACCUCUGUGAAGGGCUGAUUCACCAUCUCCAGAGAUAACGCCAAGAACGAGCUCUACCUGCAAAUGAACAAUGUGAGAGCUGAGGACACGGCCCUGUAUUACUGUGCGAGAGACACAUACUGGAUUAG